AGUGAACGCUGGCGGUAGGCCUAACACAUGCAAGUCGAACGGCAGCACAGUAAGAGCUUGCUCUUACGGGUGGCGAGUGGCGGACGGGUGAGGAAUACAUCGGAAUCUACUUUUUCGUGGGGGAUAACGUAGGGAAACUUACGCUAAUACCGCAUACGACCUACGGGUGAAAGCAGGGGAUCUUCGGACCUUGCGCGAUUGAAUGAGCCGAUGUCGGAUUAGCUAGUUGGCGGGGUAAAGGCCCACCAAGGCGACGAUCCGUAGCUGGUCUGAGAGGAUGAUCAGCCAAGCUGGAAAUGGAGCACGGUCCCGAACCCUACGGGGGGGAGCAGGGGGGGAUUUUGGACCAAGGGGGCAAGCCUGAUCCCGGCAUACCGGGGGGGUGAAGGAGGCCCUCGGGUUGGUAAAGCCCUUUUUUGGGGAAAGAAAAGCAGCAGGUUAAUACCCCGCUGUUCUGACGGUACCCAAAGAAUAAGCACCGGCUAACUUCGUG
This 493-nucleotide ribosomal RNA is filed under the name uncultured bacterium. Its description in RNAcentral is "partial 16S ribosomal RNA". It matches the Rfam family "Bacterial small subunit ribosomal RNA", at positions 29 to 507 of the family's 1533-position model. The record is from RNAcentral.